GUUAGAUCGCCUGGCAAAUUUGGUCGUUUCGAAAGCCGAGGCUGCAAAAAUGGGUUAUGUAAAUAAGGGAUGAGACGCUUUUAACUCUUUCGGGAUAGGCGCAAUCCCGAUCGUUAUUGAAAUUCUGAAGCGGUCGGUCGCGGUCCUGAGUUCCUCGUCGGAUACAGGCAGGAGGAGCUGUACGUUUAAGUUGUCGAAAAGAAAUUGGACGAAAAUAUAAUGUAAAGCGAUUCUGCAGAGGAAGUUGAAGGAAGAAAUCGCUGAACUCGCUUACAAAAUCGCCAUUUUUCCGGAACGGUGACUGUGCGUGAUGAUGAACGAUAGAGAGUCUCCCGUCUCCCUCCCUCUUCUGCUUUCCUACGCCGCCGUCGCCGUCGCAGUAUCAGGAACAAACGCGAUGCACCUCUGAGUGCUGCAUUUCUGAUCGAACCUGGUGCACGCAACCGGCCGGCCGUUCCGUGGAAUUUCGCGGAGAAGCGCAAAGAUCGGGGGAGGCAUUAAACGAUCCCCGAUAAAUGUGCUCGCGCGCGGUCUUUCUCAGCGGCGGCGGCGAUCCGCUCCGAGAUUAACUCGUAACUGAUCGAACGUCGGGGGCGUGCGAUACGUCCGUCAAGACUUCGCCGAGACUUCGGAUAUCAGGAGAGUGCGUGUUUAUCAUCUCCGAUUGCAUACGUUAUAAAAAAAAAAAACACACACACAAAGCUGUGCAUAAUUUAAUUUCAAUCAUCCGCCAUCGAAAUAUUUAAUGCGUCAAAUGUAAUCGCUGCACGACGA
Molecule: long non-coding RNA, 774 nt
Organism: Wasmannia auropunctata (little fire ant)
Lineage: Eukaryota; Metazoa; Arthropoda; Insecta; Hymenoptera; Formicidae
Exons: 2
Source: RefSeq, a predicted model, not a curated record